This 252-nucleotide ribosomal RNA is filed under the name uncultured bacterium. RNAcentral's name for it is "partial 16S ribosomal RNA". It matches the Rfam family "Bacterial small subunit ribosomal RNA", at positions 524 to 776 of the family's 1533-position model. The record is from RNAcentral.
CACGUAGGUGGCGAGCGUUAUCCGGAAUGAUUGGGCGUAAAGCGAGCGCAGGUGGUUUAUUAAGUCUGGUGUAAAAGGCAGUGGCUCAACCAUUGUAUGCAUUGGAAACUGGUAGACUUGAGUGCAGGAGAGGAGAGUGGAAUUCCAUGUGUAGCGGUGAAAUGCGUAGAUAUAUGGAGGAACACCGGUGGCGAAAGCGGCUCUCUGGCCUGUAACUGACACUGAGGCUCGAAAGCGUGGGGAGCAAACAGG